UACGUAGGGUGCAAGCGUUGUCCGGAAUUAUUGGGCGUAAAGAGCUCGUAGGCGGUGUGUCACGUCGGCCGUGAAAACCUGCAGCUUAACUGUGGGCGUGCGGUCGAUACGGGCAGGCUAGAGUUCGGUAGGGGAGACUGGAAUUCCUGGUGUAGCGGUGAAAUGCGCAGAUAUCAGGAGGAACACCGGUGGCGAAGGCGGGUCUCUGGGCCGAUACUGACGCUGAGGAGCGAAAGCGUGGGGAGCGAACAGG
This 253-nucleotide ribosomal RNA is filed under the name uncultured bacterium. RNAcentral's name for it is "partial 16S ribosomal RNA". It matches the Rfam family "Bacterial small subunit ribosomal RNA", at positions 524 to 776 of the family's 1533-position model. The record is from RNAcentral.